AUCAGUGUCAAACUCAACACCACCGUGGUGCUGACAUACAAGGUAAAGACCGAAUCAGACUCAUCAGAAUGAAUGCCUGUUUAAUCUAGAAGAAGUAGUAUAAAUAUAUAUCCUUUAAUAUCUGGGAACAUGUGAAGCUUUUUAGCUCUCGAAAAAAAUGUAGAAAACUACUGGAGGUCAAAUAAUUACCCCUCGACUGGAAAUUCAUAGUGAUUAGACUGCACCUGCAGGGUGCGCAGCAGCUACUGAUUUUACAAACUUAAUUCUCAUAAUUACUUACACACAGCCAUGGCUAAUGGAUCAAACCCAAGACGGUACCUAUGCCAUAAAAUAUGAGCAUAAAUGUGAUUUAUUUGUGUGCAUGAUAUGGGAAACAUGAUCUUUCUUGAUACUAGCAGCAGGGGCUGAAAGAUUCACAUUGAAAUUUGACUGCUAUUACGUGUUGCUCUUGCCAUUUUAGUUUCUUGGAGUCAGAAAUAAUCAUGUAGUGAACACAUGUGUUGGUACACGUGUCAAAAGCCAGCCACUCUCCAAACUUUGAGUCUUAAAAAAAUGUAAAAAUACAAGUUAUAGAAAACGUCUCCCAUGAUGCAGUUGUUAUAAAGGUAGACCUUACCCCCAGAAAACAAAAAAAGGUUUCAUGUAUCAAGCUGUAAACAUCUUUAUUUCUGCUGUAAAGUCUGUGAGGACUGGCUCGCUUUUGGAGACAGCAGAGGAACUGCAGAAGUUGCACAUGUAAACAUGUAAACACUUUCUUAUUCAUUUUUUAACCUUAUAAUCCUCCCAGUCACCCACUCCUGUAAACCACUAUUUCCCAUUGAUUAAAAUAUAUCUAACACAUAUAUCUAGUUUUCAUUUUAAUUUCAAAUCAAAACCCACAAAUGAGCAGUCAACACCACCGUUUAGGGUUUUUCCCUCGUAACUGCAAGAUACCAACUUCAGUAUUCGAAACACAGAUUCAGACCAACAGAGUUUCAUAUGAAACAAAUGAAAUAAAACAGCAAAAUAAUUUAAAGUUUGGUUUCUUUUUCUCUAACAAGGUACCAGGUUCUUUAGGGGCUAAAUGUUGAUCUUGUUUGUAAAAUGACGUUGAUAGCAGCGGAACAAUCAGCUGAAAAACUCUGUAGAUUUGAGGGAACUGUGGUAUAAGGUUGAAAUGAAUUAAGGAAGUAAAUAUACAUUCAAACAAAACAAUGAAAGCGUUUCCUCUUAUGAGCUGUGACCAUGUAGCUGGUAACAUUCAUGCUUUCAGAGUCUGUGUGUGAAAAACAGUAGAACGUGGUCUUAGAAACCGAGGACAUUUCCAGGAUAUUUCAAAUGGGAGCCAUGAGCACAAUGCUCAGUCUCAAUGCAGAAAUUAUGACACAAAAUUUAGCUUUAGCUUAGCAAAAUGUUUUUUACAUAUCCACAGUAAAUGUUCUUUAAGUAAAAGUACUCCUUGUGCUGCUGAUCAUUAUUGAUUAAUUGAUGUGUAUAUCAUGUCAGUGUUGCAGCUGGAGAUGAUUACAAUUACUUAUAUACUGCUGUUUAGCUUUGUCUACAGUGUUACAGGAUCAUAUAUUAGUGGCUUUAUGUUUCAAAAUCUGCUAAAUAAAGUGUAACUGAUGCUUUGAAAUAAGUUUAGAUUAGAUGUUUUUUAUGCAAUUAUUUAAAAAAUGAAUUACUGUUUUGGUAAAACACCAAUAAAAAAUACUCCAUGUAAAACAGUAGGUUAUAAAGUCAGUAAUAAACCUAAAUCAUAUUUAGGAGAAAUGUAAUAGUGCUGAAUUGAUAACGUAAUAAUAGAGCGGUAAUUGCUGAUGAAAAGCUUCUUAUGAUGUUUUUGUUCAGCAGCCUGAUUGAUGUGAGAAGCAUGUGGUUGUUCCAUGAACGCUCCUGUACGUGUUCCCUGAAAAUAGGCUGCGAGAAGGAGAGUGGGCUCGUUUGGAGGUGCUUUUACAUCCUUCAGUUUGUCUGUACAGUCCUUCAGAGCAAGACCUGCCAUUCAUCUGAGGGUUGGUGUCAAGAGAGAAUCGAUCCUUUAAAACCACCAACUAAUUAAGUUCCAUAAUUUAAGAACAGGAACCACGGGAUGAUUCAGCCUGAAGACUCACUCUUUGUUUAAUUAUAAGCAUUAGGCUUCCUGAUGGUUUGUUCCUUUAUUUAUAAGGUUCAAAUGUUGUGCUUUAAGCUUUGUCAGCCAAAUUAAGCCAACCUUUAUCUCCUCUCGCUAUCAAAUGGAUAAUUGUACAUGUACAUGUAUACUCCUGCAUCACCGUGCAGCAAAGCACAUAACAACAAAGAAUCAAAAAUCAUCAAAAACUGUAUGACAUGCUAUUCAUUUAUCUUAGGUUUAUUGGAGAAUUACUUAUUGAAUUCAUUUUGGUAGCUAACUGCAAGGUGAGAGACAAAACAUACAAACCACGUGUGUUUAUAUAUGGAAAACAUAAAUGUGUUCAACAUCUAAAUAAAGAGUUUUAUAACAAGAAAUGUCUUAUAAUGCUGGUUAAAAACAUGCCUGGUGACACAUGAUUCACAGUAUUAUGUGUUUUAAUGCAACUUCAAACGUCUUAAUGUGUUAUAAUUUCAUAGACUUCUAGACAUCCAUAAAUUCCUGCCUCUUUCACACAAAAUGUGAAAAAUACAUUUGUUUUGAAUUAAAAUGUUUCAUGUUUAAAUGAAUUAAUCUUCUGGGAAUGUCUUCCUGAACUUAUUUCCA
Oreochromis niloticus (Nile tilapia) is the source of this 2698-nucleotide long non-coding RNA. RefSeq lists it as uncharacterized. Lineage: Eukaryota; Metazoa; Chordata; Actinopteri; Cichliformes; Cichlidae. The record is from RefSeq and is a predicted model, not a curated record. The transcript is spliced from 2 exons.